This 551-nucleotide ribosomal RNA is filed under the name Salmonella enterica. Its description in RNAcentral is "partial 23S ribosomal RNA". It matches the Rfam family "Bacterial large subunit ribosomal RNA", at positions 711 to 1259 of the family's 2925-position model. Lineage: Bacteria; Pseudomonadati; Pseudomonadota; Gammaproteobacteria; Enterobacterales; Enterobacteriaceae. The record is from RNAcentral.
AGACCCGAAACCCGGUGAUCUAGCCAUGGGCAGGUUGAAGGUUGGGUAACACUAACUGGAGGACCGAACCGACUAAUGUUGAAAAAUUAGCGGAUGACCUGUGGCUGGGGGUGAAAGGCCAAUCAAACCGGGAGAUAGCUGGUUCUCCCCGAAAGCUAUUUAGGUAGCGCCUCGUGAAUUCAUCUCCGGGGGUAGAGCACUGUUUCGGCUAGGGGGCCAUCCCGGCUUACCAACCCGAUGCAAACUGCGAAUACCGGAGAAUGUUAUCACGGGAGACACACGGCGGGUGCUAACGUCCGUCGUGAAGAGGGAAACAACCCAGACCGCCAGCUAAGGUCCCAAAGUCAUAGUUAAGUGGGAAACGAUGUGGGAAGGCCCAGACAGCCAGGAUGUUGGCUUAGAAGCAGCCAUCAUUUAAAGAAAGCGUAAUAGCUCACUGGUCGAGUCGGCCUGCGCGGAAGAUGUAACGGGGCUAAACUAUGCACCGAAGCUGCGGCAGCGACACUAUGUGUUGUUGGGUAGGGGAGCGUUCUGUAAGCCUGUGAAGGUGU